Molecule: long non-coding RNA, 2024 nt
Filed under: Zonotrichia albicollis (white-throated sparrow)
Lineage: Eukaryota; Metazoa; Chordata; Aves; Passeriformes; Passerellidae
Description: lncRNA (ENSZALG00000008735.1)
Source: RNAcentral
AGGUGUGGGAGAACCUGGGAUUUGUUCCCUUCAGGAAUUUCAGCCCGGUGCUUCUCCAAGUGUGGGAGGACCUGGGGUUUGUACCUCAGGAGGUGCUUCAGGUGUGUGGGAGAACCUGGGGUUUGUUCCCUUGAGGAAUUUCAGCCUGGUGCUUCUCCAAGUGUGUCCCCAUGUGUGGGAGAACCUGGGGUUUGUGCCUUUGGAGGUGCUCCAAGUGUGGAGAACCUGGGGCUUGUGCCUCUGGAGCUGCUCCAAGUGUGGAGAACCUGGGGUUUGUGCCUCUGGAGCUGCUCCAAGUGUGGGAGAACCUGGGGUUUGUGCCUCUGGAAGUGCUCUCUGUGUGUGUGGGAAGAACCUGGGGUUUGUGCCUCUGGUGCUUCUACACGUGUUGGAGGAUCUGGGGUUUGUUCCUCUGGAGGUGCUCCAAGUGUGGGAGAACCUGUGGUUUGUUCCUCUGGAGGUGCUUCAGGUGUGUGGGAGAACCUGGGGUUUGUUCCCUUCAGGAAUUUCAGCCUGGUGCUUCUCCAAGUGUGGGAAAACCUGGGGUUUGUUCCCUUGAGGAAUUUCAGCCCGGUGCUUCUCCAAGUGUGGGGGAAACUGGGGUUUGUGCAUCUGGAGCUGCUCCAAGUGUGGGAGAACCUGGGGUUUGUUCCCUUGAGGAAUUUCAGCCUGGUGCUUCUCCAAGUGUGGGGGAAACUGGGGUUUGUGCCUCUGGAAGUGCUGUGUGUGUGGGGGGGAACUGGGGUUUGUGCAUCUGGAGGUGCUCCAAGUGUGGGAGAACCUGGGGUUUGUGCAUCUGGUGCUUCUACACGUGUUGGAGAACCUGGGGUUUGUGCCUCUGGACCUGCUCCAAGUGUGGGAGAACCUGGAGUUUGUUCCCUUGAGGAAUUUCAGCCUGGUGCUUCUCCAGGUGUGGGGGAAACUGGGGUUUGUGCAUCUGGAGGUGCUUCAGGUGUGUGGGAAGAACCUGGGGUUUGUGCCUCUGGUGCUUCUACACAUGUUGGAGAACCUGGGGUUUGUUCCUCUGGAGGUGCUCUGUGUGUGUGGGAGAACCUGGGGUUUGUUCCUCUGGAGGUGCUUCAGGUGUGUGGAGAACCUGGGGUUUGUUCCCUUGAGGAAUUUCAGCCUGGUGCUUCUCCAAGUGUGGGGGAAACUGGGGUUUGUGCCUCUGGAAGUGCUCCAAGUGUGGGAAAACCUGGGGUUUGUGCAUCUGGAGGUGCUCCAAGUGUGGGAAAACCUGGGGUUUGUUCCCUUGAGGAAUUUCAGCCUGCUGCUUCUCCAAGUGUGUCCCCAUGUGUGGGAGAACCUGGGGUUUGUUCCUCUGGAGGUGCUUCAGGUGUGUGGGAGAACCUGGGGUUUGUGCCUCUGGUGCUUCUACACAUGUUGGAGAACCUGGGGUUUGUUUCUCUGAGGAAUUUCAGCCUGCUGCUUCUCCAAGUGUGGGAGAACCUGGGCUUUGUUCCUCUGGAGGUGCUCCAAGUGUGUCCCUUGCACGUUGGAGGAGCUGGGGUUUGUUCCUCUGAGGAAUUUCAGGCUGGUGCUUCUCCAAGUGUGUCCCCACACACAGGAGAACCUGGGUUUGCAUGUGGGAGAAUGUGGGGUUUGUUCCUCUGGAGCUUCUCCAAGUGGGAAAGGAUCUGGGGUUUGUUCCUCUGAGGAAUUUCUCCACGUGUCCAAACAUCUGGGAGAACCUGGGGUUUGUUCCUCUGAGGAAUUUCAGCCUGAUGUUUCUCCAAGUGUGGGAGAACCUGGGGUUUGUUCAUCUGGAGCUGCUCCACGUCUGGGAGAACCUGGGCUUUGUUCCUUGAAGAAUUUCAGCCUGGUGUUUCUCCAAGUGUGGGAGAACCUGGGGUUUGUACCUCUGGAGCUGCUCCAAAUGUGAUCCUACAUCUGGGAGAACCUGAGGUUUGUUCCUCUGGUGCAGUUUCUCUCCCAGCCUGUGGGAGUUUGUUCCUCUAAGGAAUUGCUCCACAUGUGGAAGAAUCUNNNNNNNNNNNNNNNNNNNNNNNNNNNNNNNNNNNNNN